CGUCAGGAAACACUGCAGAUACACUUCGGUGCCUGUGGGCGGACUGUUACUGACGGCAGCCCUAACCACCUAAUGUUUAGCCACAAAAGCGAGUGCCAGCAAUAAUGGCCAGGACAGUACCUUUCUUGGCUUCUUUCUUCCUCAUUAAUUUUCUUUCCUGAAACCAGCCGGUGCCCCCUCUUUCUGGUACUGUGACUUUCCCAAAAGAAGUCUUUGUCCAGUUCGUUCAGUGGAGAAAUCCCAUCAGGGAGCCAAAAGGCUUUUGCUUAAUCAAGCUCUUCUUCAACUGCUUCAACUGCUCCCAAUGGCACCAGGAUCACAUCCCUGUAUGAUGCCAUCACCUAAACAUUGAUACCAAGGUGCUUCAAUGAACUAUUUUGUUGAUCAUUGCAUGUUCCUGUAGAAUUUCUAAAAUAAACUGUAUAAG
Poecile atricapillus (Black-capped chickadee) is the source of this 427-nucleotide long non-coding RNA. RefSeq lists it as uncharacterized. The record is from RefSeq and is a predicted model, not a curated record. Lineage: Eukaryota; Metazoa; Chordata; Aves; Passeriformes; Paridae. The transcript has 3 exons.